UCUAACUAAAAGUAUAGGCAGCAACAUAAAGAUAUGCUGGAAGAUAUCCCCUCUUCUGCAAUCUUCAACCUACUUUGAACAAUCCUCAAAGCGUCUAGAACUCCACGAGUUCUCCUCUUGUAAUCCCAACAGGACAACAACAACCUUCCAAAUAUUGAUAGAAGUCUUGAUCAAUAUGAUGAACACAAGCACUGCAAAAUUUGAUCAAAC
This 210-nucleotide long non-coding RNA is filed under the name Vigna radiata. Its description in RNAcentral is "long non-coding RNA (VRAD_LNC017190)". Lineage: Eukaryota; Viridiplantae; Streptophyta; Magnoliopsida; Fabales; Fabaceae. The record is from RNAcentral.